GUUUUUGUCGAUUUUUUUUUUUUUCUUUCUUGUUCUUCUUUCCCCC
RNAcentral lists this non-coding RNA (46 nucleotides) under Stygamoeba regulata. Lineage: Eukaryota; Discosea; Stygamoebida. The record is from RNAcentral.